GGGGAUGUAGUUAAUUAUGACACUUGAUUUGCAUUCAAGAGGUGCUUUAGGGCCUUCCUCA
Molecule: transfer RNA, 61 nt
Filed under: Polyphemus pediculus
Lineage: Eukaryota; Metazoa; Arthropoda; Branchiopoda; Diplostraca; Polyphemidae
Description: tRNA-Ala
Rfam family: tRNA
About the family: Transfer RNA (tRNA) molecules are approximately 80 nucleotides in length. Their secondary structure includes four short double-helical elements and three loops (D, anti-codon, and T loops).
Source: RNAcentral